GGAGACGUGGCCGAGAGGCUGAAGGCACCGGUUUGCUAAACCGGCAUACGGGGUCAACCUGUAUCGAGGGUUCGAAUCCCUCCGUCUCCG
Gemmatimonadetes bacterium SCN 70-22 is the source of this 90-nucleotide non-coding RNA. Lineage: Bacteria; Pseudomonadati; Gemmatimonadota. The record is from Rfam.